GCUGGCGGCAGGCUUAACACAUGCAAGUCGAGCGGAAACGAUGAUAGCUUGCUAUCAGGCGUCGAGCGGCGGACGGGUGAGUAAUACUUAGGAAUCUACCUAGUAGUGGGGGAUAGCUCGGGGAAACUCGAAUUAAUACCGCAUACGUCCUACGGGAGAAAGGGGGCAACUUGUUGCUCUCGCUAUUAGAUGAGCCUAAGUCGGAUUAGCUAGAUGGUGGGGUAAAGGCCUACCAUGGCGACGAUCUGUAGCUGGUCUGAGAGGAUGAUCAGCCACACCGGGACUGAGACACGGCCCGGACUCCUACGGGAGGCAGCAGUGGGGAAUAUUGGACAAUGGGGGGAACCCUGAUCCAGCCAUGCCGCGUGUGUGAAGAAGGCCUUUUGGUUGUAAAGCACUUUAAGCAGUGAAGAAGACUCUUCGGUUAAUACCCGGGGACGAUGACAUUAGCUGCAGAAUAAGCACCGGCUAACUCUGUGCCAGCAGCCGCGGUAAUACAGAGGGUGCAAGCGUUAAUCGGAAUUACUGGGCGUAAAGCGAGCGUAGGUGGCUUGAUAAGUCAGAUGUGAAAUCCCCGGGCUUAACCUGGGAACUGCAUCUGAAACUGUUAGGCUAGAGUAGGUGAGAGGGAAGUAGAAUUUCAGGUGUAGCGGUGAAAUGCGUAAAGAUCUGAAGGAAUACCGAUGGCGAAGGCAGCUUCCUGGCAUCAUACUGACACUGAGGCUCGAAAGCGUGGGUAGCAAACAGGAUUAGAUACCCUGGUGGUCCACGCCGUAACGA
This 780-nucleotide ribosomal RNA is filed under the name Psychrobacter sp. MH165. Its description in RNAcentral is "bacterial SSU rRNA". It matches the Rfam family "Bacterial small subunit ribosomal RNA", at positions 35 to 809 of the family's 1533-position model. Lineage: Bacteria; Pseudomonadati; Pseudomonadota; Gammaproteobacteria; Moraxellales; Moraxellaceae. The record is from RNAcentral.